RNAcentral lists this ribosomal RNA (449 nucleotides) under uncultured bacterium. Its description in RNAcentral is "SSU rRNA". It matches the Rfam family "Bacterial small subunit ribosomal RNA", at positions 26 to 518 of the family's 1533-position model. The record is from RNAcentral.
AGAACGAACGCUGGCGGCAGGCUUAACACAUGCAAGUCGAACGCCCCGCAAGGGGAGUGGCAGACGGGUGAGUAACACGUGGGAACAUGCCCAAAGGUACGGAAUAUUCCCGGGAAACUGGGAGCAAUACCGUAUGUGCCCGAAAGGGGAAAGAUUUAUCGCCUUUGGAUUGGCCCGCGUCGGAUUAGCUAGUUGGUGGGGUAAAAGCCUACCAAGGCGACGAUCCGUAGCUGGUCUGAGAGGACGACCAGCCACACUGGGACUGAGACACGGCCCAGACUCCUACGGGAGGCAGCAGUGGGGAAUAUUGGACAAUGGGCGAAAGCCUGAUCCAGCAACGCCGCGUGAGGGAUGACGGCCUUCGGGUUGUAAACCUCUUUCAGCAGGGACGAAGCGCAAGUGACGGUACCUGCAGAAGAAGCACCGGCCAACUACGUGCCAGCAGCCGC